UACGGAGGGUGCAAGCGUUAUCGGAAUUACUGGGCGUAAAGCGUGCGCAGGCGGUUUGUUAAGUCCGUUGUGAAAGCCCCGAGCUCAACUUGGGAAUUGCAGUGGAUACUGGCAGGCUGGAGUACGGUAGAGGAAGGUGGAAUUCCCGGUGUAGCAGUGAAAUGCGUAGAUAUCGGGAGGAACACCAGUGGCGAAGGCGGAC
This 202-nucleotide ribosomal RNA is filed under the name uncultured bacterium. RNAcentral's name for it is "partial 16S ribosomal RNA". It matches the Rfam family "Bacterial small subunit ribosomal RNA", at positions 524 to 726 of the family's 1533-position model. The record is from RNAcentral.